RNAcentral lists this ribosomal RNA (542 nucleotides) under uncultured bacterium. RNAcentral's name for it is "partial 16S ribosomal RNA". It matches the Rfam family "Bacterial small subunit ribosomal RNA", at positions 355 to 885 of the family's 1533-position model. The record is from RNAcentral.
UGGGGAAUUUUGGACAAUGGGCGCAAGCCUGAUCCAGCAAUGCCGCGUGCAGGAUGAAGGCCUUCGGGUUGUAAACUGCUUUUGUACGGAACGAAAAGCCUCUCUCUAAUACAGGGGGGUGAUGACGGUACCGUAAGAAUAAGCACCGGCUAACUACGUGCCAGCAGCCGCGGUAAUACGUAGGGUGCAAGCGUUAAUCGGAAUUACUGGGCGUAAAGCGUGCGCAGGCGGUUUUGUAAGACAGUGGUGAAAUCCCCGGGCUCAACCUGGGAACUGCCAUUGUGACUGCAAGGCUGGAGUGCGGCAGAGGGGGGAUGGAAUUCCGCGUGUAGCAGUGAAAUGCGUAGAUAUGCGGAGGAACACCGAUGGCGAAGGCAAUCCCCUGGGCCUGCACUGACGCUCAUGCACGAAAGCGUGGGGAGCAAACAGGAUUAGAUAGCCCUGGUAGUCCACGCCCUAAAACGAUGUCAACUGGUUGUUGGGGAUUUAUUUCCUUCAGUAACGAAGCUAACGCGUGAAGUUGACCGCCUGGGGGAGUACGG